UCCCAGCUGUCUCAGUGAUAAAGAAUCUGCCUGCCAAGCAGAAGACAUGGGUUUGACCCCUGGGUCAGGAA
Molecule: non-coding RNA, 71 nt
Organism: Bos taurus (domestic cattle)
Lineage: Eukaryota; Metazoa; Chordata; Mammalia; Artiodactyla; Bovidae
Source: Rfam